AUUGAACGCUGGCGGCAUGCCUUACACAUGCAAGUCGAACGGCAGCGCGGACUUCGGUCUGGCGGCGAGUGGCGAACGGGUGAGUAAUACAUCGGAACGUACCCUGUUGUGGGGGAUAACUAGUCGAAAGAUUAGCUAAUACCGCAUACGACCGGAGGGUGAAAGUGGGGGACCGCAAGGCCUCACGAAGCAGGAGCGGCCGAUGUGUGAUUAGCUAGUUGGUGGGGUAAAGGCCCACCAAGGCGACGAUCAGUAGCUGGUCUGAGAGGACGAUCAGCCACACUGGGACUGAGACACGGCCCAGACUCCUACGGGAGGCAGCAGUGGGGAAUUUUGGACAAUGGGGGCAACCCUGAUCCAGCAAUGCCGCGUGUGUGAAGAAGGCCUUCGGGUUGUAAAGCACUUUUGUCCGGAAAGAAAUCGCGCUGGUUAAUACCUGGCGUGGAUGACGGUACCGGAAGAAUAAGCACCGGCUAACUACGUGCCAGCAGCCGCCGUAA
RNAcentral lists this ribosomal RNA (500 nucleotides) under uncultured bacterium. Its description in RNAcentral is "partial 16S ribosomal RNA". It matches the Rfam family "Bacterial small subunit ribosomal RNA", at positions 29 to 523 of the family's 1533-position model. The record is from RNAcentral.